CUGGAGGAAAGACAAAGGGAAAACUGGAGGCAGCCGAUACAAAUUAGCACAGAGUUGGCUACAUAAGGAGCUUAAAUUGUCAUCUUUUUAUGUUGUUGGAUGCCAGAAUCAACAGAGUAAAGGGUCCAAUUUAAAAUUUUAUCGCAUAGCUGCUGCCACUGACAGACAAAAAAAACGACGACAGCUGUGGUUAAACGCAGUAAAAGGACAGAGCAGAAACGAUCAUCAGACGAUCAACAAUCAUCAGGACAGAAAUGAUCAUCAAAAAUGCUAGCAUUUGCAGCACACACUUCAUAUCAGGAGCCUGAGCUACUGAGUUGUCCACCUGUCACCUGACCUCCUCAGACAGGAAGAGAAACAAAACAGGUUAUGAGUAAGAAGCCUGAAACAAUUUCCCACACAGGAAGUGACUGUAGCAAGGACGGAGUCAUUCUGUGUGCAUGUUGAGAAAAACAUCUGCCUACCCAAGUCAGUC
This is a long non-coding RNA of Ictalurus punctatus (channel catfish), 475 nucleotides long. Lineage: Eukaryota; Metazoa; Chordata; Actinopteri; Siluriformes; Ictaluridae. The record is from Ensembl.